AGAUUGAACGCUGGCGGCAUGCUUUACACAUGCAAGUCGAACGGCAGCGCGGGGGCAACCUGGCGGCGAGUGGCGAACGGGUGAGUAAUGUAUCGGAACGUAUCCUGUAAUGGGGGAUAACCAGUCGAAAGAUUGGGUAAUACCGCAUACGCACGAGAGUGGAAAGUAGGGGAUCGCAAGACCUUACGUUAUAGGAGCGGCCGAUAUCUGAUUAGCUAGUUGGUGGGGUAAAGGCCUACCAAGGCGACGAUCAGUAGCUGGUCUGAGAGGACGACCAGCCACACUGGGACUGAGACACGGCCCAGACUCCUACGGGAGGCAGCAGUGGGGAAUUUUGGACAAUGGGCGAAAGCCUGAUCCAGCCAUGCCGCGUGCAGGAAGAAGGCCUUCGGGUUGUAAACUGCUUUAGUCUAGGAAAAAGGGGUGCGAGGUUAAUACCCUCGUGCUUUGGAUGGUACUGGAAGAAUAAGCACCGGCUAACUACGUG
RNAcentral lists this ribosomal RNA (487 nucleotides) under uncultured bacterium. RNAcentral's name for it is "bacterial SSU rRNA". It matches the Rfam family "Bacterial small subunit ribosomal RNA", at positions 26 to 507 of the family's 1533-position model. The record is from RNAcentral.